RNAcentral lists this long non-coding RNA (2045 nucleotides) under Papio anubis (olive baboon). Its description in RNAcentral is "lncRNA (ENSPANG00000051202.1)". Lineage: Eukaryota; Metazoa; Chordata; Mammalia; Primates; Cercopithecidae. The record is from RNAcentral.
AUGAAGCAGAGAGUCCCCACUAGACGCCAAAUCUGCUGGUGUCUUGAUUUUGGACUUCCCAGUCUCUGGAACUGCUUAUGCAUGUAUCUAAGUCGUCACUUUGAAUAUUGCAACUUUUUAUGUGUCAAUCAUACCUCAAUGUGGUUGGCAGAAUAACGGCCCUAAAAGAUGUUCAAGUUUUGAUCCCCAGAACCUGCGAAUGAACAUAUUCCCUCUAUGGCAAAAAAGGAAUUCAGGUUACAGAUGGAAUUAAGUUUGUUAAUCAGCUAACCUUAAAAUAGAGAGAUAUCCUGGAUUAUCUGGGUGGGCCCAAUGUAAUCACAAGUGCCCUUAAAAGUGGAAGAGGAGGCAGAAAAGUUGAUCAUAAGGAUGCUACCGGAGAGGGAUUUGAGUUCACUUUGAAGGUAGAGGCCGUGCAUGAAGGAAAACAACUUCUGGAAGCUGGGAACAGCCCCCAUGUUACAGUCAGCAAGAAAAUGGGGAUGUUGGCUUUGCAUCUACAGGAAUUGAAUUCUGCCAGCAGCAAGGAAAUGGAUUCUCCUCUAGAACUUCCAGAAAAGGGUAUAGUGUGCUGACACCUUAAUUUUAGUCCAGUGAAACCCAUACUGGACUUCUGAUCCACAAAACUGCAAAAUAAUAAGUUUGUGUUGUCUGAAGCCAUUAAGUUUAUGGACAUAUAGCAACAAACCAAUGUACUCAAUAAAGCUAUUUUUAUUUUAAAAUGAAUCUAUUUUUAAAAUUGCACUUCAUAGACAGUAUUGCAUACUUCUGUCAAGAGGCAUAUAAAGUCUAGUUACCUAUCUGUGACGUUAGCUGCCAUCAAUUGCCUAGAUUAUUGCCUAGAGCCAUUAAGUCAUCAUCACUUCCUAGUGAUGGCCUCUCAAGGCACAACAUUUCCUUCUUGGUUAACUCAACCAAACUUCCUCCUGAGAUUUCUACUCAUUGAAUCUAAGCCUUUUCUACGCUGUGGCUCCUUAAAUAUUUGAAGACAUAUCCUUACUUUUAAAAAUCAUUUUAUUAUGAAAAAAUGGAAACACUAUAUAAAAAUAUAAUAAUAUAAUGAACCCCUUUAUGCCCAUUUCUCAUCUUCAACAAUUAUCAACUCCAGACCAAUCUCAUUUCAUUUACACCCUCAUCUACUUCUUCCAUCCUUUAUUAUUUUGAAGCAAAUCCCAGAUCUCAUAUAAUUUUACCCAUAUAUAGUUCUGUAUAUAUAACUAGAAGAGAACUUAAAAAAUAACCACAAUAUUAUUAUUACUCUUACAUUUACAAUAAUCUCAUAAUAUCAUUAACUAUUCAAUGACUUACUCCUAUUGGUUAAGCAUAUAAUCUUUAUUUAUUUAUUUAUUUAUUUAUUUAUUUAUUUAUUUAUUUAUUUUUGAGAGAGUCUCAGGCAGGAGUGUAGUGGUGCCAUCUCAGCCCACUGCAGCCUUGACAUCCCAGGCUCAAGUGAUCCUCCCACUUCAGCCCCCUGAGUACCUGGGACUACAGGCACCCGUCACCAUGCCUGGCUAAUUUUUGUAUCUUUUUGUAGAGACGAGGUUUUACCAUGUUACCCAGGCUGGUCUGAAACUCCUGGGCUCAAGCGAUACACCUGCUGUGGCCUCCCAAAGUGCUGGGAUUACAGGCUUGAGCUACCACACCCAGCCUCAUAUGAUCUUUUUUUUUUGAAACAAUUCUCAUGAAAAGAUCUUUCUGACUUAGAAAAAAAAAAUGAGACACUCAGAAGAGGAGUAAAUAAUUUCACCUCCAAGUUGCAUAUGGUGACAAUUUUUGUGCACAUGAUAAUGAUAGAAACAGGCUCACUGGGAAAGCUGAGUAACCAUGUAUACUUUGUCAUUGGCAAAAACCUUAUUCAGACUUACAAAACAAUGAUGUUAAAAUGUAAAAAGUAAUGCCUUUAUAGAAUUCACAAUUAUAUAAAAAUGUCAUUUUUUAAUCCAUUGAAAGUUUAUUUUUGCAAAUGUUCUAUUGUUAUAACUUAAUUGUUAAUUCAAUUUUUCAUAACCUUGUUGCAACUAUACGUAUAAAUGUAUACAUUUUUG